Molecule: long non-coding RNA, 1072 nt
Organism: Cairina moschata (Muscovy duck)
Lineage: Eukaryota; Metazoa; Chordata; Aves; Anseriformes; Anatidae
Source: Ensembl
AAUAAAAUGUUACAUAUUCAUUUAUUUUGUAAAAAAUAAAUAAAUAUAUAUAUAUAUAUAUAUCAAUAUUGUUAUGCUGAUUUCUCAAUCAGGAACCCCCAGGAUGAUUUUUAAAGCACUCAGAAGUACCAAGAAUGACUUCAUAAUCACCAGGUGGGCUGGUGCAAGGUACCUGGAGCAUCUACUCAACAACUGGCUGAGAAAGUGUUAAUGCUCUCCUAUGCACUGAGACCUCAGCUGCACUCACUGAUUGCUGAGGUUGUCAGCCCAGCAGCCCUGGUGACUUGGGAAAUGUCUGUGUUAUAAGGAGGAACUCUUCAGCUAGAAAGAAAAGAAAAAGAGAUUCCUUGGAAAGGAAGGGAGACACCUCUGCUCUUGGAGCCACUGGGAGAGAAGUUGCCAGAGCACAAGGGCAGGCUGGAAGGGGAGCCUAGCGACAAGAGAAUUUGCAGCACACUGGAGAUCACUGAGAAUGGGGGACAGACAACCUGCCAAAAGUGCAAGCUGACAAAGAGGCUUUUCCUGGUGCUUGGAAGACCAUGCAGUCUGCCAAAACCCAGAAAGUGACUGAGUUGGAUUUCAGCCAAGCCCUCCAAAAAAGCUUUAUCCACCAAGAACACAACACGAAGUCCACCUGUCCUGAAACGAGGAGGCCACAGGCACCCUGGGAUGGCUGGCAUUCCUUCAGGGCCUCACCUGGCAGAACAUGGUGUGUGUGUGAAGGACUGAAGCUGUGGCCAGCAAUCAGGCUGCCAUCAGCUUCUCCCCUGCCUUGGGGAGCUCCUUCAUCCCGAGCUGCCCCUCUGGAAGAGCCUGGCACGGAGCAAGUGUCCUCACUGCGUGUCUGCUGGAAGGUCCAGGAUUGUUUUGUUGCUACAGAAGGCGUGAAAGCAGGUACAUGGUUGUGUGACUGCGUGACGUUGCCACCAGCUCUUCAGCGGCACUGGGUGAGUAACAGCCUUUCUGUCACAGUCGCUGUGUGGUCUAGCAGCUCCCUGCACAUGUGGGCUGGGUUGAAGUGAGAUGGAAAUUUCAGGGGGUUGACAAAAAUAAAUACUUUGUUUCAUGUCAG